GACAGAGGGUGCAAACGUUUGUUCGGAAUUACUGGGCGUAAAGCGUGUGUAGGCGGCUAGGUAAGUCGGAUGUGAAAGCCCUGGGCUCAACCCAGAAGUGCACUCGAUACUGCUUAGCUAGAGUACCGGAGAGGUUGGUAGAAUUCUCGGUGUAGAGGUGAAAUUCGUAGAUAUCGAGAGGAAUACCGGUGGCGAAGGCGGCCAACUGGACGAGUACUGACGGUGAGACACGAAAGCGUGGGGAGCAAACAGG
Molecule: ribosomal RNA, 253 nt
Filed under: uncultured bacterium
Lineage: Bacteria
Description: partial 16S ribosomal RNA
Rfam family: Bacterial small subunit ribosomal RNA
Source: RNAcentral